UAGGCGUAAAUGAUGCGAGUUAAGUGUGGGGGCAUCUACGAGAUGGCCCUGUGCUGUAGGGUAGCCGUUAAACUCGCUGCCUGGGGAGUACGGUCGCAAGGCUGAAACUUAAAGGAAUUGGGCGGGGGAGCACCACAAGAGGUGGAGGCUGCGGUUUCAAUUGGACUCAACGCCGGAAACUCAUCGGGAGCGACAGCAGUAUGAUUGCCAGGUUGAUGACCUUGCUUGACAAGCUGAGAGGAGGUGCAUGGCGUAGUCGUGU
This 262-nucleotide ribosomal RNA is filed under the name uncultured archaeon. Its description in RNAcentral is "partial 16S ribosomal RNA". It matches the Rfam family "Archaeal small subunit ribosomal RNA", at positions 748 to 1009 of the family's 1478-position model. The record is from RNAcentral.